This 668-nucleotide ribosomal RNA is filed under the name Cortinarius sp. MLB-2010e. RNAcentral's name for it is "eukaryotic LSU rRNA". It matches the Rfam family "Eukaryotic large subunit ribosomal RNA", at positions 1 to 651 of the family's 3401-position model. RNAcentral also lists the same sequence under 1 other name. Lineage: Eukaryota; Fungi; Basidiomycota; Agaricomycetes; Agaricales; Cortinariaceae. The record is from RNAcentral.
GUGACCUCAAAUCAGGUAGGACUACCCGCUGAACUUAAGCAUAUCAAUAAGCGGAGGAAAAGAAACUAACAAGGAUUCCCCUAGUAACUGCGAGUGAAGCGGGAAAAGCUCAAAUUUAAAAUCUGGCAGUCUUUGGCUGUCCGAGUUGUAAUCUAGAGAAGUGUUAUCCGCGCUGGACCGUGUACAAGUCUCCUGGAAUGGAGCGUCAUAGAGGGUGAGAAUCCCGUCUUUGACACGGACUACCAGGGCUUUGUGAUGCGCUCUCAAAGAGUCGAGUUGUUUGGGAAUGCAGCUCAAAAUGGGUGGUAAAUUCCAUCUAAAGCUAAAUAUUGGCGAGAGACCGAUAGCGAACAAGUACCGUGAGGGAAAGAUGAAAAGAACUUUGGAAAGAGAGUUAAACAGUACGUGAAAUUGCUGAAAGGGAAACGCUUGAAGUCAGUCGCGUCGUCCAGGGAUCAACCUUGCUUUUGCUUGGUGCACUUUCUGGUUGACGGGUCAGCAUCAAUUUUGACCAUUGGAAAAAGAUUAAGGGAAUGUGACAUCUUUGGAUGUGUUAUAGCCCUUGGUUGCAUACGAUGGUUGGGAUUGAGGAACUCAGCACGCCGCAAGGCCGGGUUUUUAACCACGUACGUGCUUAGGAUGCUGGCAUAAUGGCUUUAAUCGACCCG